GUACGCUGGCGGCACGCCUAACACAUGCAAGUCGAACGCAGUAGCAAUACUGAGUGGCAGACGGGUGAGUAUAAUGUGGGAAUCUGCCUUUUGGUUUGGAAUAACACGGGGAAACUUGUGCUAAUACCGGAUAAGCCCUUACGGGGAAAGUUUUAACGCCGAAAGAUGAGCCCGCACUUGAUUAGCUAGUUGGUAAGGUAAAAGCUUACCAAGGCAACGAUCAAUAGCUGUUCUUAGAGGAAGACCAGCCACAUUGGGACUGAGACACGGCCCAGACUCCUACGGGAGGCAGCAGUGGGGAAUCUUGCACAAUGGGGGAAACCCUGAUGCAGCGAUGCCGCGUGAGUGAAGAAGGCCCUUGGGUUGUAAAACUCUUUCGUCGGGGAAGAAAAUGACUGUACCCGAAUAAGAAGGUCCGGCUAA
RNAcentral lists this ribosomal RNA (423 nucleotides) under uncultured bacterium. Its description in RNAcentral is "bacterial SSU rRNA". It matches the Rfam family "Bacterial small subunit ribosomal RNA", at positions 31 to 500 of the family's 1533-position model. The record is from RNAcentral.